Molecule: ribosomal RNA, 350 nt
Filed under: Neotermes sp. Agen20141113xby
Lineage: Eukaryota; Metazoa; Arthropoda; Insecta; Blattodea; Kalotermitidae
Description: partial large subunit ribosomal RNA
Source: RNAcentral
CUCCUCUUGGUAGUUUUUGAGGUAAGGUCUGCCCACUGAUUUUAUUGAAGGGCCGCGGUAUUUUGACCGUGCAAAGGUAGCAUAAUCAUUAGUCCUUUAAUUGUGGACUGGUAUGAAUGGCUUGACAAGGUGUCAUCUGUCUUUAAAAGAUUUCUGUUGAUUGAAUUUGGUUUUUGGGUAAAAAUACCUAAAUUUUAUUAUGGGACGAGAAGACCCUAUAGAGUUUUAUACAAUUUUUUUUCUAUUAGUUUGUUUAGUUUUGUUAAAUUGUAUUGUAUUUUGUUGGGGUGAUGGGAGAGUAAGGUUAACCUCUCCUUAUUUUGUUUCACUUAUUCGUGUUUUUGUGAUCC